UUGUGCUCACUUUGGAAACAGAUUUACUAAAAUUGGAAUGAUACAGAGAAGAUUAGCAUAGCCUCUGUGCAAGGAUAGAGUUGUGAAGCAUUCUUUAUGUGU
Non-coding RNA from Homo sapiens (human), 102 nucleotides. NCBI's taxonomy places the organism in Eukaryota, Metazoa, Chordata, Mammalia, Primates, Hominidae. The record is from Rfam.